Molecule: long non-coding RNA, 130 nt
Organism: Saccostrea echinata
Lineage: Eukaryota; Metazoa; Mollusca; Bivalvia; Ostreida; Ostreidae
Exons: 3
Source: RefSeq, a predicted model, not a curated record
ACUGGUGAUAGAUAUGUAUAGUAUUUUAGAUUGACGCAUGCUCAGCUGACUGGGGACUAUGAGUAUGGAAAACCAUUUUGCAGAAUUAGGAAUGUGCAGCUGAAAGUGGUCAAAGAUCAAAGGCCAAGAC